RNAcentral lists this ribosomal RNA (407 nucleotides) under uncultured bacterium. RNAcentral's name for it is "bacterial SSU rRNA". It matches the Rfam family "Bacterial small subunit ribosomal RNA", at positions 373 to 793 of the family's 1533-position model. The record is from RNAcentral.
GGGCGCAAGCCUGAUGCAGCAACGCCGUGUGAGUGAAGAAGGUUUUCGGAUCGUAAAACUCUGUCCUAAGGGAAGAAACAAAUGACGGUACCUUAGGAGGAAGCCCCGGGCUAACUACGUGCCAGCAGCCGCGGUAAUACGUAGGGGGCAAGCGUUAUCCGGAAUCACUGGGCGUAAAGGGUGCGUAGGCGGCUUAGCAAGCCAGGGGUGAAAGGCAUUGGCUCAACCAAUGUAAGCCUUUGGAACUGUUAAGCUUGAGUGCAGGAGAGGUAAGUGGAAUUCCUAGUGUAGAGGUGAAAAUUCGUAGAUAUUAGGAGGAACACCAGUGGCGAAGGCGACUUACUGGACUGUAACUGACGCUGAUGCACGAAAGCGUGGGUAGCGAACAGGAUUAGAUACCCUGGUAG